RNAcentral lists this small RNA (84 nucleotides) under Flavobacterium sp. 103. RNAcentral's name for it is "Flavo-1 RNA". It matches the Rfam family "Flavo-1 RNA". Lineage: Bacteria; Pseudomonadati; Bacteroidota; Flavobacteriia; Flavobacteriales; Flavobacteriaceae. The record is from RNAcentral.
UUUUAGCCCCGGUUGAAGUGAAAAUCCUUUUUGUGAACUUUAUCAAAGUUCACAAAAAGAUUGAAACGGAAAACGGGACGAUCU